This 869-nucleotide long non-coding RNA is filed under the name Nicotiana benthamiana. RNAcentral describes it as "long non-coding RNA (NBEN_LNC011340)". Lineage: Eukaryota; Viridiplantae; Streptophyta; Magnoliopsida; Solanales; Solanaceae. The record is from RNAcentral.
AGGAAUCGGGACAGUAGCAUAGGCAAGGCAACCAAAAGCCUUUAAAUGAGAGUAAGUGGAUGCUUUACCAUGCAAGAUUUCAUAAGGAGACUUACCAUGAAGGAGCCUAGAGGGUAUUCUGUUAAUAAGGUAGGUAGCAGUUAAUAGGCAAUCACCCUAAAAGGAGAUAGGUAAACCAGACUGAAAGAGUAAAGCUCUACAAGUUUCAAGAAGAGUUCUAUGUUUUCUCUCAACAACACCAUUCUGUUGAGGAGCAUGUGGGCAAGUGGUUUGGUGUAUGAUGCCAUGUUGGUUAAAAAAGGAUGUACUAAAUGCUAGAUCCCAAUUCUAAAGCAUUGUCACUCCUAAUAGUUUGAACAUUUGCAUUAUACUAUGUCUUGACCAUACAGAGAAAAGAUUGACACAUGUUGUCACUCCUAAUAGUUUGAACAGUGCAUUAUACUGUGUCUUGACCAUACAGAGAAAAGACUGAAGCAUGGAGAAAGCAUUGCUUUUAGACCCUAACAGAUGUGUCCAGGUUUCCCUAGAAAAAUCAUCAACUAUUGUGAGAAAAUAUCUUGAACCAGUAGAGGUGGGGGUAUGAUAAGGCCCCCAAGUAUCUACAUGAAUCAAUUGAAAAGGUCUAGAUGUACUAGCAGUGCUUUCAGGAAAUGGAAGCCUAGUUUGCCUGGCCAUAGGACAGGUAGAACAUUGAAAAGGCUGUUUAGAAGCAAAUGGAAAGGAUAAAGCAGAAAUGUGUUUCAUAUUUGCAAAAGGUAUAUGACCCAACCUUAAAUGCCAAAUGUAAUUCAUGUUAGUGGCAACAAUAUUAUUACACAUGGAACUGUUUACAUUCAAAGGCAAACUAACAGCUUGAUUACUAGAAUAGU